RNAcentral lists this long non-coding RNA (245 nucleotides) under Malus domestica (apple). Its description in RNAcentral is "long non-coding RNA (MDOM_LNC015723)". Lineage: Eukaryota; Viridiplantae; Streptophyta; Magnoliopsida; Rosales; Rosaceae. The record is from RNAcentral.
AUUCAUGGUACCCAACAAAAGCUUCACCAACAAAAGCUUCAACUCCAAAGCUUCACCUACAAAACUUCAUCUCCAAAGCUUCACCAACAAAAGCUUCAUCAAAGAAGGACAACUACAAAUUCUCAAAAGCUUCACACUAUCUUGAUUAAGAUAGUGUGAAGCAAAAUCAAUUCAUGGUACCCAACAAAAGCUUAAACUCCAAAGCUUCACCUACAAAGCUUCACCUACAAAAGCUUCAACACAAA